CAAUAGCGUAUAUUAAAGUUGUUGCAGUUAGAACGCUCGUAGUCGGAUUUCGGGGCGGGCCGACCGGUCUGCCGAUGGGUACGCACUGGUCGGCGCGUCCUUCCUUCCGGAGACCGUGCCUACUCUUAACUGAGCGGGGGCGGGAGACGGGACUUUUACUUUGAAAAAAUCAGAGUGUUUCAAGCAGGCAGCUCGCUCUUGCAUGGAUUAGCAUGGGAUAAUGAAAUAGGACUUUGGUGCUAUUUUGUUGGUUUCGAACACCGAAGUAAUGAUGAGAAGGGACAGUCAGGGGCACUCGUAUUCCGCCGAGAGAGGUGAAAUUCUCAGACCAGCGGAAGACGAACCACUGCGAAAGCAUUUGCCAGGGAUGUUUUCACUGA
RNAcentral lists this ribosomal RNA (380 nucleotides) under uncultured eukaryote. RNAcentral describes it as "partial 18S ribosomal RNA". It matches the Rfam family "Eukaryotic small subunit ribosomal RNA", at positions 592 to 976 of the family's 1831-position model. The record is from RNAcentral.